This 640-nucleotide ribosomal RNA is filed under the name uncultured bacterium. RNAcentral's name for it is "bacterial SSU rRNA". It matches the Rfam family "Bacterial small subunit ribosomal RNA", at positions 232 to 885 of the family's 1533-position model. The record is from RNAcentral.
CGCGGCCUAUCAGCUUGUUGGUGGGGUAACGGCCCACCAAGGCAUCGACGGGUAGCUGGUCUGAGAGGACGAUCAGCCACACUGGGACUGAGACACGGCCCAGACUCCUACGGGAGGCAGCAGCGGGGAAUAUUGCGCAAUGGGCGAAAGCCUGACGCAGCGACGCCGCGUGCGGGAUGACGGCCCUAGUGGUUGUAAACCGCUUUCAGCAGGGACGAAAAUGACGGUACCUGCAGAAGAAGUCCCGGCUAACUACGUGCCAGCAGCCGCGGUAAUACGUAGGGGACAAGCGUUGUCCGGAUUCAUUGGGCGUAAAGAGCUCGUAGGCGGUUCAGUAAGUUGGGUAUGAAAGCUCCGGGCUCAACCCGGAGAGGCCACUCAAUACUGCUGUGACUAGAGUCCAGUAGAGGAGCGUGGAACUCCUGGUGUAGCGGUGAAAUGCGCAGAUAUCAGGAAGAACACCGGCAGCGAAGGCGGCGCUCUGGGCUGGUACUGACGCUGAGGAGCGAAAGCAUGGGUAGCAAACAGGAUUAGAUACCCUGGUAGUCCAUGCCGUAAAUGUUGGGCACUAGGUGUGGGGAGGAAUCAACCCUCUCCGUGCCGUAGCUAACGCAUUAAGUGCCCCGCCUGGGGAGUACGG